This 318-nucleotide long non-coding RNA is filed under the name Gossypium raimondii (Peruvian cotton). RNAcentral's name for it is "long non-coding RNA (GRAI_LNC007929)". Lineage: Eukaryota; Viridiplantae; Streptophyta; Magnoliopsida; Malvales; Malvaceae. The record is from RNAcentral.
ACACACAAAUAUUAAAAAAAUUAAUUUAUAAAAAAAAUACCUUUUCUUUUUUUUUUUCCUUCCUUCCCUCUUCUUCUUCUUUUUUUUCUCUUCUCCUUUCUUUUUCUUUCUUUCUUUCUUUCUUUUUUCUUCUCCUUUCCUUUUCUUCUUCUUUCUUUCUUUCUUUUUUUCUGUUCUCCUUUCCUUUUCUUUCCUUCUUUUUCUUUCUUUCCUCUCCUUUCUUUUUUCUGUUCUCCUUUCCUUUUCUUUCCUUCUUUUUCUUUCUUUCCUCUCCUUUCUUUCUUUCUUUCUUUCUUUCCCCCUCCUUCUGGUCCCCCC